RNAcentral lists this ribosomal RNA (496 nucleotides) under uncultured bacterium. Its description in RNAcentral is "partial 16S ribosomal RNA". It matches the Rfam family "Bacterial small subunit ribosomal RNA", at positions 29 to 507 of the family's 1533-position model. The record is from RNAcentral.
AUGAACGCUGGCGGCGUGCCUAAUACAUGCCAGUCGAGCGAACGGACGAGAAGCUUGCUUCUCUGAUGUUAGCGGCGGACGGGUGAGUAACACGUGGAUAACCUACCUAUAAGACUGGGAUAACUUCGGGAAACCGGAGCUAAUACCGGAUGAUAUUUUGAACCGCAUGGUUCAAAAGUGAAAGACGGUCUUGCUGUCACUUAUAGAUGGAUCCGCGCUGCAUUAGCUAGUUGGUAAGGUAACGGCCUACCAAGGCAACGAUGCAUAGCCGACCUGAGAGGGUGAUCGGCCACACUGGAACUGAGACACGGUCCAGACUCCUACGGGAGGCAGCAGUAGGGAAUCUUCCGCAAUGGGCGAAAGCCUGACGGAGCAACGCCGCGUGAGUGAUGAAGGUCUUCGGAUCGUAAAACUCUGUUAUUAGGGAAGAACAUAUGUGUAAGUAACUGUGCACAUCUUGACGGUACCUAAUCAGAAAGCCACGGCUAACUACGUG